Molecule: ribosomal RNA, 740 nt
Filed under: Maribacter sp. SRO_21
Lineage: Bacteria; Pseudomonadati; Bacteroidota; Flavobacteriia; Flavobacteriales; Flavobacteriaceae
Description: bacterial SSU rRNA
Rfam family: Bacterial small subunit ribosomal RNA
Source: RNAcentral
CCCAGGGAAACUUGGAUUAAUGCCCCGUAGUACCGUAUUUCGGCAUCGUUAUACSGUUAAAGCCUUCSGGSGGUACAAGAUGGCCAUGCGUCCCAUUAGCUAGAUGGUAAGGUAACGGCUUACCAUGGCUACSAUGGGUAGGGGCCCUGAGAGGGGGAUCCCCCACACUGGUACUGAGACACGGACCAGACUCCUACGGGAGGCAGCAGUGAGGAAUAUUGGACAAUGGAGGAGACUCUGAUCCAGCCAUGCCGCGUGCAGGAAGAAUGCCCUAUGGGUAGUAAACUGCUUUUAUACGGGAAGAAAAAGAGCUACGUGUAGCUUACUGACGGUACCGUAAGAAUAAGGACCGGCUAACUCCGUGCCAGCAGCCGCGGUAAUACGGAGGGUCCGAGCGUUAUCCGGAAUUAUUGGGUUUAAAGGGUCCGUAGGCGGGCCGAUAAGUCAGGGGUGAAAGUCUGCCGCUCAACGGUAGAACUGCCUUUGAUACUGUCGGUCUUGAGUUAUAGUGAAGUUGCCGGAAUAUGUAGUGUAGCGGUGAAAUGCAUAGAUAUUACAUAGAACACCGAUUGCGAAGGCAGGUGACUAACUAUAUACUGACGCUGAUGGACGAAAGCGUGGGGAGCGAACAGGAUUAGAUACCCUGGUAGUCCACGCCGUAAACGAUGGAUACUAGCUGUCCGGGACCUUGAGUUCUGGGCGGCCAAGCGAAAGUGAUAAGUAUCCCACCUGGGGAGUAC